GGCGGUUCUUAGGUGUCGCACCCCGGAAUUAGGGUCCCUCCUCUAUGGUUCCAGGUGCAUCACCUGAGAACUGCA
Molecule: non-coding RNA, 75 nt
Organism: Myotis lucifugus (little brown bat)
Lineage: Eukaryota; Metazoa; Chordata; Mammalia; Chiroptera; Vespertilionidae
Source: Rfam